GAAAGACAGAGAAUGAUGACUCAGUUCAAAUGGAUUAAAUUCUUUUCAUCAGUUUUACUAAUGCUUCAAGUAACAGGAAUAAAAGUGCAGCUGUAUGAAAAUGUGGUAUGUAAUGCUGACCGAUGAAGAUUUUGACAGUGAACAAUGGAAGUAGAAGAUCUCCUGAUGGACACUGACUGAUCCUGCUGCGUCUGUCAGACUUCAGUAAUGUGAUGGAAAAUGUUAAGAGUCUGUGCUUCUCUUUGUUAUACUGGCCUAGCUGAAAUGAAGGAUGCAUCACAGCGUGUUUGUCUCCAUAUAAUUUUGUAAUACAAGAUAUACUCAGCUGCAUGUAAUGUUCUGAUUGUAUUCUGUGACCGUGGCAGGUAUAUAAGGUGUUUCUAUAAAUGGUUCUAUUCUUGUAUUUAUUCUAUAUCUAAAGAAAUACAGACUGCUGCUGUACUCUGUGUUGUUGUUUGUUGUCUUUGCAAAGGCAAAU
Long non-coding RNA from Oreochromis aureus, 478 nucleotides. RefSeq lists it as uncharacterized. Lineage: Eukaryota; Metazoa; Chordata; Actinopteri; Cichliformes; Cichlidae. The record is from RefSeq and is a predicted model, not a curated record. The transcript is spliced from 3 exons.